This 206-nucleotide long non-coding RNA is filed under the name Medicago truncatula (barrel medic). RNAcentral's name for it is "lncRNA gene15390". Lineage: Eukaryota; Viridiplantae; Streptophyta; Magnoliopsida; Fabales; Fabaceae. The record is from RNAcentral.
UGGGGAUGCAAGUCUUUUAUAAAGUAAAUAGGUUUAUUGGGAAUACAAGGUGUUUUCCAACUUAAUACAAUCACGCAACUUAAAAUAAAGUCCCUCAAAUCCUUAUACUAGCCCUAAAUUCAACCUACAUCAUAAAUCAAACAUAGGGUUUCUUUUAUUACAAACCAACUCAUCACAAGGCUCUAAGUAGAAACACUGUAGCAAAA